AAACUCCGCCCUUACACGCUUCCUCAUCAGUGAACUAGAGCGGAUCAAAACUUGUCGUCAACACGCUCAGCCCGCCUGGAGAAGUGGGGCAAAUCCUGGAGUUUGAUAUUUUUUCUCUGAAGCGGAUUAUCCUUUCUACAUAGUGUCCCGAAGAGGACAGACCAGAAGACACGAAGUGAUAAAGAAAGAUGCCGCUUCUUCACAAAAAGCCGUUCAUCCGACAGAAACCUCCCGUUGAUCUAAAGCCAGAGGAAGAAGUCUUCCUUUGCAAAGUCACACAUGAAAUCUUCAGAACUUACGAUCAAUUCUUUGAGAGGACCAUCCUGUG
Long non-coding RNA from Clupea harengus (Atlantic herring), 328 nucleotides. RefSeq lists it as uncharacterized. The transcript is spliced from 3 exons. NCBI's taxonomy places the organism in Eukaryota, Metazoa, Chordata, Actinopteri, Clupeiformes, Clupeidae. The record is from RefSeq and is a predicted model, not a curated record.